This 504-nucleotide ribosomal RNA is filed under the name uncultured bacterium. RNAcentral's name for it is "partial 16S ribosomal RNA". It matches the Rfam family "Bacterial small subunit ribosomal RNA", at positions 28 to 523 of the family's 1533-position model. The record is from RNAcentral.
GAUGAACGCUAGCGGCAGGCUUAAUACAUGCAAGUCGAGGGGCAGCAGGUCUGUAGCAAUACAGAUGCUGGCGACCGGCAAACGGGUGCGGAACACGUACAGAACCUUCCUUCGAGCGGGGAAUAGCCCAGAGAAAUUUGGAUUAAUACCUCAUAGUAUACUGAAGAGGCAUCUCUUUGGUAUUAAAGAUUUAUCACUUGAAGAUGGCUGUGCGGCUGAUUAGGUAGUUGGCGGGGUAACGGCCCACCAAGCCUGCGAUCAGUAACUGGUGUGAGAGCACGACCAGUCACACGGGCACUGAGACACGGGCCCGACUCCUACGGGAGGCAGCAGUAAGGAAUAUUGGUCAAUGGACGAAAGUCUGAACCAGCCAUGCCGCGUGAAGGAUGAAGGUCCUCCGGAUUGUAAACUUCUUUUAUAUGGGACGAAAAAGGGGCUUUCUAGCUCAACUGACGGUACCAUUUGAAUAAGCACCGGCUAACUCCGUGCCAGCCGCCGCCGUAA